This 74-nucleotide transfer RNA is filed under the name Clostridioides difficile. RNAcentral describes it as "tRNA-Pyl(cta)". It matches the Rfam family "tRNA". From Rfam's summary of the family: Transfer RNA (tRNA) molecules are approximately 80 nucleotides in length. Their secondary structure includes four short double-helical elements and three loops (D, anti-codon, and T loops). Further hydrogen bonds mediate the characteristic L-shaped molecular structure. tRNAs have two regions of fundamental functional importance: the anti-codon, which is responsible for specific mRNA codon recognition, and the 3' end, to which the tRNAs corresponding amino acid is attached (by aminoacyl-tRNA synthetases). tRNAs cope with the degeneracy of the genetic code in two manners: having more than one tRNA (with a specific anti-codon) for a particular amino acid; and 'wobble' base-pairing, i.e. permitting non-standard base-pairing at the 3rd anti-codon position. Lineage: Bacteria; Bacillati; Bacillota; Clostridia; Peptostreptococcales; Peptostreptococcaceae. The record is from RNAcentral.
UGCGCUCAUAGCUCAACUGGAUAGAGCAACGCCCUUCUAAGGCGUGUGUCCGGGGUUCGAAUCCCNUAGCUCAG